GGAGAGGCUCUCAGACCGAAGGCAAGUUCUGGCACCUGCCAGAACUUUAUAAAGACACAGCGAUCAGUUGACUGGAAAGGAACCGUGCAUGGUUUGCAAAGCGGUCCGCCUCACUAUGUGUCUUUGACUCUGUCCUCAGGGAUCGGGAUGUGCUUCACCAGGAGUGGCUGCCCCAAGUUCAUCUACAGCCCCUUCUUAUCAGCCCGGUGCAUCCUCUGGUGGCCCACACGGGCCAGACUGUCCCCCAGUGGGUCCUGCGUACCCAUCGCGUGCCAGGCACG
This 281-nucleotide long non-coding RNA is filed under the name Lynx canadensis (Canada lynx). RNAcentral's name for it is "lncRNA (ENSLCNG00005009359.1)". Lineage: Eukaryota; Metazoa; Chordata; Mammalia; Carnivora; Felidae. The record is from RNAcentral.